This is a long non-coding RNA of Anneissia japonica, 710 nucleotides long. RefSeq lists it as uncharacterized. NCBI's taxonomy places the organism in Eukaryota, Metazoa, Echinodermata, Crinoidea, Comatulida, Comatulidae. The record is from RefSeq and is a predicted model, not a curated record. The transcript is spliced from 3 exons.
UUUGCACUGCUGACUCUCAGUUUUGCACUGGUGACUCAGUGUUGCGCUGCUGACUCUCAGUUUUGCACUGCUGCCAAUUGUAUUUUGUCCUUUUGGCGUUCCAUAGAAAAAAGUGGGGAAAAAAGAUAUGCCACAAGAGCUAAUGGCACAUGCAUUUGAUGCUCUUCAGUGGGAGCAGCAGCAAAAUCAACGGCCGCAAUACAUUUUGCAACUGAGCAAGUGAUUGCGAAAGGCAAUGCACUGACACAAUUUAGUGCCAGACAAAUAUCAGAGAUGGCAACCAGAGACAAUAUGGGGCUAAAUCGAGGUCUCUUGAUUUUGACGUACGAAGAAAUGUAUGACAGACAUGCUAAUAGCAGAUGUGAUAAUCAUGUUAUGUAGUAAUGCCACUGACCUAAAAGAUAACGUGACGAUGGUUGAGGAAAAUGGACGCGAGGCCAAUAUGCGAUACUGGUUAUCGGAAGAACAAAAUGCAAUUCAGCCUAUUGUUAUUAGUAGGUCUACGAGUGAUCAUGACGUAGCAAGAUCUAUUGUUAUUAAAGGCACAGAGGACGCAAUGCUAGAAUCGUUAGUUUCCGAUUACAGCAAGGAAGGAAACCUUGUUAAUAAAAAUAAUUAAAAAAAUAGUGUAUUUUUAUAUAGCGCACAUAUCCAUCUAAUGUAAGAUGCUCAGGGCGCUUGAUGUGUGGACUAUGAACUCGAUCAAUGAC